Molecule: ribosomal RNA, 502 nt
Filed under: uncultured bacterium
Lineage: Bacteria
Description: partial 16S ribosomal RNA
Rfam family: Bacterial small subunit ribosomal RNA
Source: RNAcentral
AUUGAACGCUGGCGGCAGGCUUAACACAUGCAAGUCGAGCGGGGUGAUGGUGCUUGCACUAUCACUUAGCGGCGGACGGGUGAGUAAUGCUAGGAAUCUGCCUAUUGGUGGGGGACAACAUCGCGAAAGGGAUGCUAAUACCGCAUACGUCCUACGGGAGAAAGCAGGGGGUCACUUGUGACCUUGCGCUAAUAGAUGAGCCUAAGUCGGAUUAGCUAGGUGGUGGGGUAAAGGCCUACAAAGGCGACGAUCUGUAGCGGGUCUGAGAGGAUGAUCGCCCACACUGGGACUGAGACACGGCCCAGACUCCUACGGGAGGCAGCAGUGGGGAAUAUUGGACAAUGGGGGGAACCCUGAUCCAGCCAUGCCGCGUGUGUGAAGAAGGCCUUAUGGUUGUAAAGCACUUUAAGCGAGGAGGAGGCUCUUUUGGUUAAUACCCAAGAUGAGUGGACGUUACUCGCAGAAUAAGCACCGGCUAACUCUGUGCCAGCCGCCGCCGUAA